Molecule: unclassified non-coding RNA, 253 nt
Filed under: uncultured Cytophagales bacterium
Lineage: Bacteria; Pseudomonadati; Bacteroidota; Sphingobacteriia; Sphingobacteriales
Description: contains 16S-23S intergenic spacer region
Rfam family: Bacterial small subunit ribosomal RNA
Source: RNAcentral
UACGGAGGGUGCAAGCGUUGUCCGGAUUUAUUGGGUUUAAAGGGUGCGUAGGCGGCUUUGUAAGUCAGUGUUGAAAUAUGGCAGCUUAACUGUCAGACUGGCAUUGAUACUGCAGAGCUUGAGUACAGUUGAGGUAGGCGGAAUUUAUGGUGUAGCGGUGAAAUGCAUAGAUACCAUAAAGAACACCGAUUGCGAAGGCAGCUUGCUAAGCUGUAACUGACGCUGAGGCACGAAAGCGUGGGGAUCGAACAGG